AUGGCAGCUGCCUCCACCGCCAUGGCAGCUGUCCCGGGGGGUUGGGGCUGCAGGGCAGGACAGAGGUUUUGGGAAAGCAUAGGGAGGGCGGCCCCAUGGUGCUGGACCGUGCUGGACCCAGAUGACCAGCAACCUCGGAAGAAAGUUUUUCUUCCCCUCCCUAUCUCCCAACCCCAGAAACCCCGUUCUGUCCUUUUUCCUUCCAGAAGGAGCAGGCAGAACCCUGGCCUCCUCCUCCUCAGUUCAGACAGCCCCAUCACCAAAGGGCCCAGACAAUUAAUUACCCACCAUCAUGGCGCCGUUUAGCCUUCAAUUUUCCUGACGACCACAAGGAUUAACUCAAUCUACGAGACUUCACUGGGCCAUUUAAGGGAGCAUCAUAACUCUUUCUGUUCCCCAGAAAUUGUAACCCGGACUCGGUUUUGUAAUGCUAAUUGCCUUAUCUUCAUAAAUUCUACAGUCUUACAUAAUUUACCCGCAUUGUAGCAGGAUUUCCCAAGAAUAAAAAAGCAGGUGCCGUCAAUGGUAAUUUGAAUAAGAAAAGACAUGUUAAGUGGUUCUUCUCUCACUAGUAAUAGAAAUUAAUUAGCUUUGAGCAGCUUUGGAGGUUUUUGCAUUUUUUGCUGUAACCUGUUAUGUUUUCUAAUUGUAUGGAAAGAAGGUUUGAUUUGAUCACAUUAUUUGGUGACGGAGAGGCCUCUGUUUGGAGUCAAAGGUACAGGAAGGGUGGCAGCGAGAAGUGUGGGAAGCCUCCGGAGGCGUGCAGAGAGUAUGGGCUUUGCAGUCAGGUAAACAUGAGUUCUGAGCAAGGGUGAGCCACUUGCUGGCUCUGCGACCCUGGACAAAUCACUUCCCC
Molecule: long non-coding RNA, 856 nt
Filed under: Ovis aries (sheep)
Lineage: Eukaryota; Metazoa; Chordata; Mammalia; Artiodactyla; Bovidae
Description: lncRNA (ENSOARG00000025510.1)
Source: RNAcentral